AACGCACGAGACCUGCGGACCUGCGGAAGGAUCAUUACCGAGUUUACAACUCCCAAACCCAAUGUGAACGUUACCAAACUGUUGCCUCGGCGGGAUCUCUGCCCCGGGUGCGUCGCAGCCCCGGACCAAGGCGCCCGCCGGAGGACCAACCAAAAACUCUUUUUGUAUACCCCCUCGCGGGUUUUUUAUAUCUGAGCCUUUCUCGGCGCCCCUUCGUGGGCGUUUCGAAAAUGAAUCAAA
This 240-nucleotide unclassified non-coding RNA is filed under the name soil metagenome. RNAcentral describes it as "partial contains 5.8S ribosomal RNA, internal transcribed spacer 2, and large subunit ribosomal RNA". The record is from RNAcentral.